Molecule: ribosomal RNA, 450 nt
Filed under: uncultured bacterium
Lineage: Bacteria
Description: partial 16S ribosomal RNA
Rfam family: Bacterial small subunit ribosomal RNA
Source: RNAcentral
GUGGGGAAUAUUGGACAAUGGGCGAAAGCCUGAUCCAGCCAUGCCGCGUGUGUGAAGAAGGUCUUCGGAUUGUAAAGCACUUUAAGUUGGGAGGAAGGGCAGUAAGUUAAUACCUUGCUGUUUUGACGUUACCGACAGAAUAAGCACCGGCUAACUUCGUGCCAGCAGCCGCGGUAAUACGAAGGGUGCAAGCGUUAAUCGGAAUUACUGGGCGUAAAGCGCGCGUAGGUGGUUUUGUAAGUUGGAGGUGAAAUCCCCGGGCUCAACCUGGGAACUGCCUCCAAAACUGCAUUACUAGAGUACGGUAGAGGGUAGUGGAAUUUCCUGUGUAGCGGUGAAAUGCGUAGAUAUAGGAAGGAACACCAGUGGCGAAGGCGACUACCUGGACUGAUACUGACACUGAGGUGCGAAAGCGUGGGGAGCAAACAGGAUUAGAAACCCUUGUAGUCC